RNAcentral lists this long non-coding RNA (919 nucleotides) under Danio rerio (zebrafish). RNAcentral's name for it is "lncRNA (ENSDARG00000117816.1)". The record is from RNAcentral. Lineage: Eukaryota; Metazoa; Chordata; Actinopteri; Cypriniformes; Danionidae.
AGAACUCGAGUCCAGCACAGAUCAUGAGGAAGAUCAUCACACACACACCGCAAUUUACAGCUCAGUGGGAGGGAAUGAUGGGUGGCCGGCACACACGCAGUGUUUCAGAGCUGGAGCAGAUGCUGGAGUCCUGCAGCGCCUUCAUCUACUGCAGCAUCAAGAGCUUUUCCUCCUGUUUCCCUCCUGCAAAGAUGGCCACGCUCAAUCUGUGUGGUUGUCAGAUGGUUUUACUCUUUGACUGCGGUCAGAACACAGACGGAGAACAUCAGAGCCACAGUGUUGUGUGUGCAGACGCUGCUCUUAGCUCAGUGUAUCUGCUGACCCUCAGUGGAGUUCAUUCAGUCCUGAUCAACCAGUGGCAGAGCAGCACCGCAGAAAACACACACAACAUGAGCUCCAUGCUGAACCGUGAGUCUCACACACACUUAAACACAUACAUAUACACUCACACAGACACACACACACAUAUUUGCACAUACAAUAAAUCACAAACACACACUUAUACAAACUCAAUCACAUACACAAAUACACACACACGCAAUAAAUCACAAACACUUACAAUUACAGACGCACAUUCACACACACACACAAUAAAUCACGAACGCACACAAUUACACAUACAGACUUACAUUCACACACACACACUCACUCACUCAUUCACUCACACACGCACACACACACACACACACACACACACACACACACACACACACACACACACACACACACACACACACACAGUAGCAUUAGAAAGAGCAUUAAGAGCGGUAGUGUGAAGCUUCAAUCCAAAUAACUAAACAACAAUAAUAACAAAGGGUGUCAGGGUGGCUCAGUGGUUAGCACUGUGGCCUCACAGCAAGAAGGUUGCUAGUUCGAAUCUCAGCUGGGUCAGUUGGCAUUUCUGUGUGGAGUUUGCAUU